This is a small nucleolar RNA of Artibeus jamaicensis (Jamaican fruit-eating bat), 138 nucleotides long. RefSeq annotates it as small nucleolar RNA SNORD10. Lineage: Eukaryota; Metazoa; Chordata; Mammalia; Chiroptera; Phyllostomidae. The transcript has a single exon. The record is from RefSeq and is a predicted model, not a curated record.
GCUCUAUGAUGAACCCCAUGCGUGUCAUCUGAGCCUGGCUUCCCUUUCUCAGCCCAGGUAGUGUUCUACUUCCCAGGGCUGUUGUCUGGCCUGGCGAGGGGGAACCCUGGCAAGGAUCAAAACUAGAAUUCUGAGAGC